CCCACUAGCUGGUGCACUUCUCAGUCCUCUUUUGGCUUCCGUAGGAGUUAGCAAGGACUGAAGGAAGCAGGCAAUGGGGCAGAGCUUCAGGUCCACAGAGGUUGGCCACUGGCCGUUAGUCUGCUAUUGCUGGCUGGACUGUAGCAGCCUGUCACAGAAAUUAAAGAUCUGCUGGCAUUUUCUGAGUCUUGAGCAUUCCCCAGGGUGUUACAAGUGCAAGGUUUCUCAUUAGUGGCUGAUAAUAUGGCUUAAUAUGAUUUGAGCCUCCUGCAGUUGUGUGAGGCUUCUCAAGGCUUCAGCAUUUUUUAUGUCCUCUGGAGUUUUGUCAGACUGAGAUAUUUCCUUAGGUUUGGCCUCCAGCCCACAAAAGCAACAUCUGCAGGGCUCUCACACAGUGAUGCCAGUCUACCUCAGCCAUGGUUUGCCCUCAGCCUACUGAAGGACAAGUAUGUGGAGGCUCCCCUGGUUUACCUUAGAGCCAAGACUGGGUCAUGGCAUUGACACACAGCUGCCCUCCUAGCUAUAUAUAUAUGUGAGCCCCCAUCUGGGACUGCCUCCUCAGGUGUGCACUCACCCUGGCUCGCUGGGAGAUCCAGUGCUUUGCCUUGUGCUCCUGCCUCAGGCUGGCAGGGGUUGCCAUGAUAAGUACAAAGGCAUUUCUAACAGCUUUAAGACUGGAUAAGCAGGGUCUGAGCAUCGAUCGGUUGGUCUGGGGACACCUCCAGCCUGGGUAAGGUGUGGGUCCUGGCAAUCUGGGAAGCCAGAGGUGUGAGGGGCUCUGCAGUGGACUUACCUUCUGACUGCAGAGAUGGAUGAAGGAGAGACACAGUGGACACACCACUGCCUGUUAGGAAUAUGCGCUUGGGUAUUAGCAGGCACCGGGAAUAAACACUCUUCAAAAUGCUAAGGAAAACACCUGAAGCCAAACUUUCUAUCAGCAGGAGGCCUGUGGCCAAAGCAGCCAGAAAUCACUUGUGCCAGAGUUAAUUUACUUCCCAGCCAUUUUCAAAAUUCCUCUGUCCAGGAAGACUCCGGUGAUUUGGAUGUUUAAUUCUGCCUGAGCAGGUAACAGCAUUACCAGCUGUCUGUACAGUAUGAUCUUUUCAUAUGCAAAAGCUCAGGGUUUAAGUUAAUCUGUGUAGCCAAAGGCACAGAGGAAUUCUGGACAGUGCAGCUGCCAUCUUUAAUACCCACAUUCAGAAUUGCCACACUAUGCAGGUAACCACUGUGGUUUGUGCAAUUUUAAAAUAGAAAAUAUACGUGCUGGCUGUGAUAGGAAAUGAGCCUCAAACCAAGGCAAACCACUGUCUCCACGCCAUAAGGACCAGCCACUGCAUCUGCUCUUAAAGCCCUUGCUUAUACCAAAAGAAGUGAAGCCAGUGAAUUGGAUAUCACAUUUAUGCAACUGGAAAACGUAACAGUUUCAACAACUCGCAGGUUCAAAUUAAUAGGGUUCACUUGAAAAUCAGGUGCUGGUCCCUCGAACAAAAAGCCUGUAUCUUGGUUCAAACAAAAAACAAGACUCAACUCAACAGAGUUAGCGUUAGGUACUAACGACAGGCGCAAGUGCCGCCUCCUCCCCAGGUUGACAACUCUCUCCAGGACCGUGCUGGCAUUUUGGAGAAGUAGGACAGGACACCCCCUGCCUUGAGGCAGAGACAUUUGAGCAUCAGUAUUUUAUUGCAAAGACUAAUUACAUUGCUGUGUACAAGUCA
This is a long non-coding RNA of Tyto alba (common barn owl), 1715 nucleotides long. RefSeq lists it as uncharacterized. NCBI's taxonomy places the organism in Eukaryota, Metazoa, Chordata, Aves, Strigiformes, Tytonidae. The record is from RefSeq and is a predicted model, not a curated record. The transcript is spliced from 2 exons.